RNAcentral lists this long non-coding RNA (1715 nucleotides) under Sorghum bicolor (sorghum). Its description in RNAcentral is "long non-coding RNA (SBIC_LNC016512)". Lineage: Eukaryota; Viridiplantae; Streptophyta; Magnoliopsida; Poales; Poaceae. The record is from RNAcentral.
UGCAACCACAAGAGCCAACAGAGGAGACAUGGCCGGAGAGCCAGGAUCACCAGUGGACAAACCCGCCUUUUCAUACGGGCAGGUACUCCACUGAUCCAUAUGGAGCUUCAGGAUCCAGACCUCCACCCCAAUUUGAUGCAGGACGAUACUCCGACGCCUCCUACGCCUUCACAAAUGACUACUAUCAAGAGGCCGGUGCUUUCUUCACUCGUACCGACAACACCCUCCUCGACAUCCAGAACACGCAAGCAGAACAUGGAAGACUCCUGGAAGAGCAACAAAAAUGGAACCAGGACCAUGCCGCUGCAGUACAAGAACUGAGACAAGAUACAACAACAAUGAACGACAACAUCACAACCAUGAUGCGGUUCUGGAACAUCGGGUAAGACCGACGUCAACAUCCAGGUUGGGGGAGUUCCUCCCUAAUUUAUCAAGUAAGUUUUUAUUUGCUCUUCUUAUUUAUUCUAUUUUGUCUUAGUAUUUUAUUUAUCUUAAAAGGAAAACUUAGAAAACCAAAUAAAUAUUUUCUUGCUUUAAUCUACUACACUUAAUAAACAUGAAAACAAAAUAAAAAGAGUGUGUAGAUAAGUGUGCUUUAUUUUUCUGCUAAGUUUAAUCUCUAAAAAAAUAAAAAGAACAAAAAGAUGCAUGAUGGAAAUGAUGAAUAGUUGCUCUGUUUGCUUACUUACAAGUACCUAGCUUUUAUAUUAGAAUUCUUCCAGGAAUUACUAAAACUGAAAUUACUAUCUUUGGAAAGCAUAAAACUAAAGUCUAGGUAAGAGAAAGGCAUGAUAUAAAGUUGAGCUGCUGUUUAUCUUGUUCCUACUACACUAAGUUCUGGAGAUUUAUUUUGAAAACUUACAAAUCACAUGAUGAGUUCCUAGCAUAACAAACUACCUACCACAGCCAUACUUGCUAUAACAUCUUUUACUAUAUUUACAUUGAGUUUGAUCGAGCUGUGUUGACCCUUAGGAGCUUUUCAUGUGGUUAAAUUAAGAUAUUCACUUGCACACAUCUACCACAGCAUUCAUCACCAAUCAUUAAAAUUGCUAAAAAUAUUAUCACUCACUGUCCCGAAUAUUGUUAUUCUCUCUCUCUAAAAAGAUUCAAUGCAGAAGAGGCAUGGGUUAUGCAAAAAUAUAUACGAGGAAAUAAAAAAGGGCAAGUGCCCGGGAACCUCGAAAAAGAAAGAAAAAGAGUGAGACGAGAGGUAAAAAUGGACAAGUGUCCGAAGUAGAAUUAGGGGUACAAAGAUGCCCACUUGAGAGGUAAAAAUGGACAAGUGUCCGACAGUAGAAUUAGGGGUAUCUAUUACCCACCUGAAAAAAAAAAGAGAGAAAAGAUAGCCCAUGUUCUCCCAAGGCAAAGAUAAAAGAAGAGGAGAGAUAGCAAUAUGAGGAGCAAUAAGAACUCAGAUUUAUUAACACUAUCGCAUUUUCACCAUCACUAUCAUUUACUCCACCACACAUGCACAUCUUGAUUUAAUUAUAUGUUGAGUUCCUUUGGAUCCAUGGCUCGAUUAGACAACAUAUGUAUGAGCUGUUUUCCACUCCUAUGAGCUCCACUUAAAUAUUCCAUUAGCUAUAGGUAAGUGAUAUUAUGGUAAGGAUCCACAAAUACCACAUAUAGAGAGACCUGAGAGAAUCAUUGCUGGGAACUCUGAGUUUUAUUUUGAAAACUUAUGAAAAACUCUAGAACAAAGGUGAAGUAUAGGU